GGAGAGAUGCCAGAGCGGUCGAAUGGGCCACCCUGGAAAGGUGGUAUAUCCGAAAGGGUAUCGAGGGUUCGAAUCCCUCUCUCUCCG
RNAcentral lists this transfer RNA (87 nucleotides) under bacterium. Its description in RNAcentral is "tRNA-Ser". It matches the Rfam family "tRNA". From Rfam's summary of the family: Transfer RNA (tRNA) molecules are approximately 80 nucleotides in length. Their secondary structure includes four short double-helical elements and three loops (D, anti-codon, and T loops). Further hydrogen bonds mediate the characteristic L-shaped molecular structure. tRNAs have two regions of fundamental functional importance: the anti-codon, which is responsible for specific mRNA codon recognition, and the 3' end, to which the tRNAs corresponding amino acid is attached (by aminoacyl-tRNA synthetases). tRNAs cope with the degeneracy of the genetic code in two manners: having more than one tRNA (with a specific anti-codon) for a particular amino acid; and 'wobble' base-pairing, i.e. permitting non-standard base-pairing at the 3rd anti-codon position. The record is from RNAcentral. RNAcentral also lists the same sequence under 1 other name.